GGAGGAUGUAGUUCAAUAGGCAGAACAACUGUAUGUGGUACAGUAAGUUCCCUGUUCAAGUCAGGGCGUCCUCC
This 74-nucleotide transfer RNA is filed under the name Botryosphaeria dothidea. RNAcentral's name for it is "tRNA-His". Lineage: Eukaryota; Fungi; Ascomycota; Dothideomycetes; Botryosphaeriales; Botryosphaeriaceae. The record is from RNAcentral.